UCGGCAAUUUUCUGUGACGGAUUUUCAUGACAAAAUGAAGGCCUUAUGUUAUGCGACAGUCUCGCCGCCUUUGGUACAACCUUACGGUAAAUUCGCAACGAAUCCCUGUGCCUCCUGCAUUUGAAUCUCCCGAAAUAACAUAGGUGCUACUGCCCAAAGAGAGGCGCCAUUGUUUAGUAAGCUUGAUCUCGACCUUGAUGAAUAACGCGGACCCUCCGUGGUGGCUGCUCAGCACGAGGUUGCGGGUUCGUUUCCCUGACGUUACAGUCGUGUUACAAAAACGAAGGGGAGAGGGGGGCUGUUAAUAAAUAAAACACACUCGUGUACUUAGGUACAUUCGACUGGUUCCUACCGUGCUGCGACUCUUUCUGCAGCGAUGCGUAGCCCUCUCGAGAUUGGAGCCAGAGAAAGCCUGCCCCAACCGAACGUGCCAAGUGCGCCCAGAGGAGUCCCAGUGGCCACGUGGUCGGCAUUCUGCCGCAUCUCGGUCGCACUCCCAGCUCGAAGGAUUCAGCCUCUACCAACACUCUGAGCAAGAGCGCGGUGCUCCGAGCGAACCAUGCGAACGUGUUCCGAGCACUCGAUUUUGACCAGCUGAAUGAAAAUGGCUCCGAAAGAGGGAUGAAAUGGGCUUGUUGGUACAUCUUGAAUGGCAGUAGUUGAGCGCUUAGUUAAGUCGAGGACAAAAAAAAAAAAAAAACCGAGACACACGGAAACACGGGAGCUGGUGUGUCCGUGUGCCACUCCAGAAGAGAGCUUUAGAGCAUUCUAAAGCGGCCAGUCGAAUGCAUAGUAUGAUAUUUAUAUCCGGUGGAGCAGCGAUCCGGUGGAGCAGCGACCAGUCCGGUGGAGCAGCGACCGAGCUCUGACCAUGUUUUCUUUGUUAUAGCUCCGAGCCGUGGAACCGCCGCAUCGCCCGAUGACCAUGGAAGCGUCGAUGUGCUAGCCCUGCGGCAGAUAUCUGCGCAGGGAUCGGGGCCAAGCAAGCGCGGAUGACAACGGGACGAUACCGCCGCGAAAGGGGGCGGCGCUCACGUCACAAACCACGGGUUCUACGGGCUACAAAAGGACGCUCAGAAGAAGAACGCCCCGCAGUCCGGUGGAGCAGCGACCGAGCUCUGACCGUGUUUUCUUUGUUAUAGCUCCGAGCCGUGGAACCGCCGCAUCGCCCGAUGACCAUGGAAGCGUCGAUGUGCUAGGCCUGCGGCAGAUAUCUGCGCAGGGAUCUGGGCCAAGCAAGCGCGCAUGACAACGGGACGAUACCGCCGCGAAAGGGGGCGGCGCUGACGUCACAAACCACGGGUUCUACGGGCUACAAAAGGACGCUCAGAAAAAGAACGCCCCGCAGUCCGGUGGAGCAGCGACCGAGCUCUGACCGUGUUUUCUUUGUUAUAGCAAUGAAGGCAAUACAAGCACUUGUACUCGUGGCUUGUGUUGCAAUAGCUUGCCCGCUGGAGGGCGGGCCGUGUGCCAGCUGGUGCCAGGAGCACGGAUGCCUGGACGGUCAGUGCACGUGUGGCACCUGGGACGAGUGCCGCUGCAUCGGUUGCUGCACCGAAGUGCCCGAUGUGCACUGUGUGGACAUGAACUGCGUCGAGGCCGCCGAACCGCGAGGGGUGUGCGUGCAGGACACCUGCCUGCCCAACAUCAACGACCCCUAUUGCCACGACUAGUGACACGUCAUCCGCCAAAUUAGACAACUUUAGAGGAGAGCGAUUUUCCAAACGCGAAGUGAGGCGAAACGACGCGAAGCACCUUCAGUAAAAGAGCCUGCAGAAGCGCAAUGUGUCCAUCGUUUGACGACAUAUAUUACAGCCUUAUAUAUUAUGUAGGCUUAUAUCGCUCGCUAUGUGAGCAUACUUAAAUAUCGUAUAGCCUUAUAAACCGCUCAGAGAUGGAACAUUAUGGAGUCGCCCAUGAAAAUGAAUAACUGGUAAGAACCAACAAACUGUAUGAUUGCCACGGGAAUUUUAUGUUCAAUAGAUGCCAUAAAACAUUUUGCAUGAUACUCUAUAGACAGGUAGUGGAAACGCUUUUGCAGGGAACUUCCACAUUUUUGCCUCCUUUAAUAAAGAUGACAUAAAUAAAGAACUUGCUAAAUCUACCUCGA
This is a non-coding RNA of Dermacentor andersoni, 2110 nucleotides long. Lineage: Eukaryota; Metazoa; Arthropoda; Arachnida; Ixodida; Ixodidae. The record is from RefSeq and is a predicted model, not a curated record.